RNAcentral lists this ribosomal RNA (253 nucleotides) under uncultured bacterium. RNAcentral describes it as "partial 16S ribosomal RNA". It matches the Rfam family "Bacterial small subunit ribosomal RNA", at positions 524 to 776 of the family's 1533-position model. The record is from RNAcentral.
UACGUAGGUGGCAAGCGUUGUUCGGAAUUAUUGGGCGUAAAGGGCGCGUAGGCGGCAUGUUAAGUCGGCUGUGAAAGCCUGGGGCUCAACCCCAGAGGGUCGGCCGAUACUGGCAAGCUAGAGUACGGAAGAGGUAGCUGGAAUUCCCGGUGUAGCGGUGAAAUGCGUAGAUAUUGGGAGGAACACCAGUGGCGAAGGCGGCUCACUGGACCGGUACUGACGCUGAGGCGCGAAAGCGUGGGGAGCAAACGGG